CAGCCGCCGCGGUAAUACAGAGGGUGCAAGCGUUAAUCGGACUUACUGGGCGUAAAGGGCGCGUAGGUGGUUAUGUAAGUGAGAUGUGAAAUCCCCGGGCUCAACCUGGGAACUGCAUCUUAUACUGCGUAGCUGGAGUGCAGUAGAGGGUAGUGGAAUUUCCGGUGUAGCGGUGAAAUGCGUAGAUAUCGGAAGGAACACCAGUGGCGAAGGCGGCUACCUGGACUGACACUGACACUGAGGCGCGAAAGCGUGGGGAGCAAACAGGAUUAGAUACCCCGGUAGUCCCUGUCUCUUAUAA
This 301-nucleotide ribosomal RNA is filed under the name uncultured bacterium. RNAcentral describes it as "partial 16S ribosomal RNA". It matches the Rfam family "Bacterial small subunit ribosomal RNA", at positions 509 to 809 of the family's 1533-position model. The record is from RNAcentral.